UACGGAGGGGGCUAGCGUUGUUCGGAAUUACUGGGCGUAAAGCGCACGUAGGCGGCUUUGUAAGUUAGAGGUGAAAGCCCGGGGCUCAACUCCGGAAUUGCCUUUAAGACUGCAUCGCUAGAAUUGUGGAGAGGUAAGUGGAAUUCCGAGUGUAGAGGUGAAAUUCGUAGAUAUUCGGAAGAACACCAGUGGCGAAGGCGACUUACUGGACACAUAUUGACGCUGAGGUGCGAAAGCGUGGUGAGCAAACAGG
This 253-nucleotide ribosomal RNA is filed under the name uncultured bacterium. RNAcentral's name for it is "partial 16S ribosomal RNA". It matches the Rfam family "Bacterial small subunit ribosomal RNA", at positions 524 to 776 of the family's 1533-position model. The record is from RNAcentral.